UUUAAUGAGAGUUUGAUCCUGGCUCAGGACGAACGCUGGCGGCGUGCCUAAUACAUGCAAGUAGAACGCUGAGGUUUGGUGUUUACACUAGACUGAUGAGUUGCGAACGGGUGAGUAACGCGUAGGUAACCUGCCUCAUAGCGGGGGAUAACUAUUGGAAACGAUAGCUAAUACCGCAUAAGAGUAAUUAACACAUGUUAGUUAUUUAAAAGGAGCAAUUG
This 221-nucleotide ribosomal RNA is filed under the name Streptococcus agalactiae FSL S3-586. RNAcentral describes it as "partial 16S ribosomal RNA". It matches the Rfam family "Bacterial small subunit ribosomal RNA", at positions 1 to 213 of the family's 1533-position model. The record is from RNAcentral. Lineage: Bacteria; Bacillati; Bacillota; Bacilli; Lactobacillales; Streptococcaceae. RNAcentral also lists the same sequence under 1 other name.